Non-coding RNA from Meloidogyne enterolobii, 73 nucleotides. Lineage: Eukaryota; Metazoa; Nematoda; Chromadorea; Rhabditida; Meloidogynidae. The record is from the annotation of a GenBank genome assembly.
CAUUUGUUGGUGUAGUCGGAAAAAUUUAAGUUUGUGAUUCCCGAGGUCGUGGGUUCGAACCCCAUCCGGGUAA